Long non-coding RNA from Vidua macroura (Pin-tailed whydah), 1686 nucleotides. RefSeq lists it as uncharacterized. The record is from RefSeq and is a predicted model, not a curated record. NCBI's taxonomy places the organism in Eukaryota, Metazoa, Chordata, Aves, Passeriformes, Viduidae. The transcript has 5 exons.
AACAUGAUAUAUGUGUUAUAUAUAGAAUUUCUGAAUGCUUGGUGAUGAGAAAACUGCAAACUAAGUCAGAUACAGCACUGACCUAGAAAGCAUUGAGACCCUGCACUAUAUGUGAUAAGUACAAAUGCUUUUCUAACUUUAUUUACUUGUUACUUGCUGGUCGAUCUUUUCUUUUGUGUGAUAGAAUCAGCUCCUAAAGUGUACUGUGGUCUACAUCUGUGAAUUUAAAGUAAGGAAAUAGAAUUUGCUGGCCCAAAGCAGAAGAGGAAGUGGAGGGGCUUGGUUUCCAAGGAAAGAAGCUGGAGAACAGUGCAAAAAGAAGGGAGCUGUGAAUGAAAUAGAGGGCAAGUGGAAGACAGACCAUUAUUCUCAUUGUUGCAUCCACUUCUGCCUUGAGGCAGUGAAGAGGGCUCCUGUUUGUGCUGCAUCUCUGCACAGUUUCACUGAAAUGGAAUCAUCUCCAAUGUAUCUGCUAAACCCUGGCUAAAGACAAGAAAGUCUGAACACAGCAAGCCUACAUCCUGCUGGACUUACUCAGAGCAUGAAGACAACGAAAUGCAGAAGGCCAAGAUGACCCAACUUCAGUCCAGAACUCGGUAAUAAAAUACCCAGGAGAACCACGCACUUGUGAAAGGAAGAGGCAAUGGAACUGAGACUGAACACCUAUCUGGUCAGCAGGAGAUCAGAAGUUAUGUUCAGCUCUCAGCAACCUGCCUGUCAGCCUGGAAUGCUGCUGUAAAAUCCAUGCAGUUAUGCUGCCUUCACAUCAAAGCCUCCAGCCAGAUGAAAUUUGUAUGUGUGAGGAGUUUGUGCUGGGUGCAAAUACCUGAAAUACUGUAGUUCCCUGUGGGUUGAAGAGCAAGCAUCCACGAAUAAAUGUAAUUUUGAAUUGUCCCACUGACUGACCAACACCACACAAUAAAGCAGUCCCUUUCCUGCUGGGGCUUAGCACUGCUUGUUUCCCUGUCUGCACAGAUACCAUGUAUGCUGCAAAUUAAAUGAGAAAACAAAAAAUCACCUUAAAAAUACAAUGUUCCCUACUGGUUUGUGUUUAUGCAAUAGAGAGAGCCAAGGAGAAGAUGUGACCCAUAUACUCUGGUUAUAGAACUGAAAUUUCUUACAGAAAUUUAAUGUUUUGGUAAUCCUAGGUACUCCUUUGGGACUCUGGCCUGUGUCUGUGUUGAUAUUUCAAUCUGCAGGAGCUGAGGCCUAAAACAAGUUCCUCAAAUAAAAUGCCAUAACAUUGCCGAGCCAAAGGAAAUAACAGUGGUGGAAGAUACAUGGAUAAGCAAAUUCAAUGGGUCACUUGUAGGGAAGUUGUAGCUACUCAGACAUGUGAAGGGAAUAUUCGCUGAAGAAGCAGAGUGGAAUUCUCCUCCAUUUAAAUGUAUUCACUGACUGAAGUGGGAGUAUUCAAAGCAUAUUUUUCUCCUAUUAAGCAAGUACCAGCUGCUGGAACAGAAAGAUGUGCAGGAGAGUGGAUCCAGCAGGUUCCUUCCUUUGCUCUGAGAGCUCUGAGAGCAUCUCAAAGGCUGCCCUAGGCUCUAAUGUCUGGUAAAAGAUCCCAGAGGAUGAGAAUUGGUCAUGACAACUCCAGCAACACAAACUCCCAUCUCCUCUCCUGCCUGGAUAUGACUUCAGAGGAAUUUUCUUAGGGAUGUGGGAUACCCUUCACAUAUAACAAGA